This 1345-nucleotide ribosomal RNA is filed under the name metagenome. RNAcentral describes it as "bacterial LSU rRNA". It matches the Rfam family "Bacterial large subunit ribosomal RNA", at positions 1569 to 2925 of the family's 2925-position model. The record is from RNAcentral.
GCGAGCGGCUACGGCCGCGAAGUGGGUGAUGUCAAGCUUCCAAGAAAAGCCCUAUACCCGUUAAGGCAUGAUGGCCUGUACCCGAAACCGACACAGGUGGGGUGGUAGAGAAUACCGAGGGGCGCGAGGUAACUCUCUCUAAGGAACUCGGCAAAAUGGCCCCGUAACUUCGGGAGAAGGGGUGCCACCGCAAGGUGGUCGCAGUGAAGAGGCCCAGGCGACUGUUUACCAAAAACACAGGUCUCCGCUAAGUCGCAAGACGAUGUAUGGGGGCUGACGCCUGCCCAGUGCCGGAAGGUUAAGGAAGCUGGUCAGCGCAAGCGAAGCUGGCGACUGAAGCCCCGGUGAACGGCGGCCGUAACUAUAACGGUCCUAAGGUAGCGAAAUUCCUUGUCGGGUAAGUUCCGACCCGCACGAAAGGCGUAACGAUCUGGGCGCUGUCUCGGAGAGAGGCUCGGCGAAAUAGAAUUGUCUGUGAAGAUGCGGACUACGUGCACCCGGACAGAAAGACCCUAUGAAGCUUUACUGUAGCUUGGUAUUGUGCCCGGGCUCUGAAUGCGCAGGAUAGGUGGGAGGCUUUGAUCCAUGGCUUGCGGGUCAUGGUGAGCCAACGGUGAGAUACCACUCUUUCAGAGCUAGGGUUCUAACGGUCACCCGUCAUCCGGGGACCGGACAGUAUCAGGUGGGCAGUUUGACUGGGGCGGUCGCCUCCUAAAAGGUAACGGAGGCGCGCAAAGGUUUGCUCAGGCUGGUUGGAAAUCAGCCGACGAGUGCAAAAGCAGAAGCAAGCUUGACUGUGAGACCUACAAGUCGAACAGGGACGAAAGUCGGCUUUAGUGAUCCGACGGUUCUGAGUGGAAGGGCCGUCGCUCAACGGAUAAAAGUUACUCUAAGGAUAACAGGCUGAUCUCCCCCAAGAGUUCACAUCGACGGGGAGGUUUGGCACCUCGAUGUCGGCUCAUCGCAACCUGGGGCUGAAGUCGGACCCAAGGGUUGGGCUGUUCGCCCAUUAAAGCGGUACGCGAGCUGGGUUCAGAACGUCGUGAGACAGUUCGGUCCAUAUCCGGUGCACGCGCAGGAACAUUGAGAGGAUUUCUCCCUAGUACGAGAGGACCGGGAGGAACGCACCUCUGGUGUGCCAGUUAUCGUGCCAACGGUAAACGCUGGGUAGCCAUGUGCGGAGUGGAUAACCGCUGAAAGCAUCUAAGUGGGAAGCCCACCUCAAGAUGAGUGUUCCCAUGGCAUAAGCCAGUAAGGUCACGGGAAGAACACCCGUUGAUAGGCUCUACGUGGAAGCCGGGUAACCGGUGAAGCGGAGGAGUACUAAUAGACCGAGGGCUUGACC